AUGAACGCUGGCGGCGUGCCUAAUACAUGCAAGUCGAGCGAACAGACGAGGAGCUUGCUCCUCUGACGUUAGCGGCGGACGGGUGAGUAACACGUGGAUAACCUACCUAUAAGACUGGGAUAACUUCGGGAAACCGGAGCUAAUACCGGAUAAUAUAUUGAACCGCAUGGUUCAAUAGUGAAAGACGGUUUUGCUGUCACUUAUAGAUGGAUCCGCGCCGCAUUAGCUAGUUGGUAAGGUAACGGCUUACCAAGGCAACGAUGCGUAGCCGACCUGAGAGGGUUGUCCGCCACCCCGGGACUGAGGCACCGUCCAAACCCCUACGGGGGGCCGCAGUAAGGAAUCUUCCCGCAUGGGCCGAAGCCUUACCGGACAAACGCCGCUGGGUUGAGGAAGUCUUCCGGUCCUUAAAACUUUGUAUUAGGGAAAGACAAAUUUGUAAGUUACCAUGCACGUUUUGACGGUACCUUAUCAGAAAGCCACGGCUAACUACGUG
Molecule: ribosomal RNA, 496 nt
Filed under: uncultured bacterium
Lineage: Bacteria
Description: partial 16S ribosomal RNA
Rfam family: Bacterial small subunit ribosomal RNA
Source: RNAcentral